AGGACGAACGCUGGCGGCGUGCUUAACACAUGCAAGUCGAGCGGUAAGGCCUUUCGGGGUACACGAGCGGCGAACGGGUGAGUAACACGUGGGUGAUCUGCCCUGCACUCUGGGAUAAGCCUGGGAAACUGGGUCUAAUACCGGAUAUGACCUGCUCUCGCAGUGGGGGUGGGUAGGAAAGAUUUAUCGGUGCAGGAUGGGCCCGCGGCCUAUCAGUCUUUGGUUGGUAGGGGUAAUGGACCUACCGAAGGCGACGACGGGUAGCCGACCUGAGAGGGUGACCGGCCACACUGGGACUGAGACACGGCCCAGACCUCCGUACGGGAGGC
Molecule: ribosomal RNA, 329 nt
Filed under: uncultured soil bacterium
Lineage: Bacteria
Description: bacterial SSU rRNA
Rfam family: Bacterial small subunit ribosomal RNA
Source: RNAcentral